This 497-nucleotide ribosomal RNA is filed under the name uncultured bacterium. RNAcentral describes it as "partial 16S ribosomal RNA". It matches the Rfam family "Bacterial small subunit ribosomal RNA", at positions 28 to 507 of the family's 1533-position model. The record is from RNAcentral.
GAUGAACGCUGGCGGCGUGCCUAAUGCAUGCAAGUCGAGCGAACAGACGAGGAGCUUGCUCCUCUGACGUUAGCGGCGGACGGGUGAGUAACACGUGGAUAACCUACCUAUAAGACUGGGAUAACUUCGUGAAACCGGAGCUAAUACCGGAUAAUAUAUUGAACCGCAUGGUUCAAUAGUGAAAGACGGUUUUGCUGUCACUUAUAGAUGGAUCCGCGCCGCAUUAGCUAGUUGGUAAGGUAACGGCUUACCAAGGCGACGAUGCGUAGCCGACCUGAGAGGGUGAUCGGCCACACUGGAACUGAGACACGGUCCAGACUCCUACGGGAGGCAGCAGUAGGGAAUCUUCCGCAAUGGGCGAAAGCCUGACGGAGCAACGCCGCGUGAGUGAUGAAGGUCUUCGGAUCGUAAAACUCUGUUAUUAGGGAAGAACAAAUGUGUAAGUAACUAUGCACGUCUUGACGGUACCUAAUCAGAAAGCCACGGCUAACUACGUG